ACACUUAGUGUGUGUCUGGUCGAUGUUAAACACAGGGGGCGACCAGGUUUCUCCAUCAAACCCCAAAUCUCCCAAAAUUCAUAAAUUGAAGCCUCUAAUCUGCUCCAAAUCAAGUUUCAAGCAUGAAUUAGUGAUCAUCUCGUUGCGGGGAUCAAAAGUUUGACGCGUAACAAGCUAGGUGGAAGCUUGAUGAGGGAGCGGGUCAAACGAAUCAAGAAGGAAAGGAAAAAGCAUAGUUCGGACACGAGGUAAGUAUAUCUUACACUAGUCAUAUAUUUCAUAAUAUCCUUUUGUCGUAUUACGAAAAAGAUAAUUUAUGACGUAAGCCAUAGUAGGCUAAAAAGUGUUAAGAAAUGGAAUUAUAAGCAAGUGACCGCACGGUGUAAAUCGGAGCGAGUCAUAUAUACAUUUACGAGGUGGUAAUAAAUAUCAUCUCGCUAAUAUAAUCGGUCAAUUCGGCCAAACGGGUCAAAAGGUGAAAUUAUCACCCUUUGACAAUAUCGACUAAUGGGUUGUCAAGAUGCAUGAUUUUAGGAAAUAUAUAGCACAUGGAUGCUUACAUCGCUAUCGCUUAGCAGCCACUAAGGAAAUGUAUUGAAACGGGUCAAUAUAUUGAUCCGAGCCAGGUGAAGAUGGGAUAAGCAGUUUGAAAGAUACGAAAGUUUUCGUGCAAAUAAACGGCAAAAUAGGAAAGCUGGAAUGCAGGGGCCACCGUAACUUACGGUGCCGCUGAAGGCUUUACGGCAGCCCCCUACUGAUUUACGGUUCUUUUUGGAUGCCGGAAGACGAUCAAGCUCAUCGAAGGACCGAACACGAUAAAGAUACAUGCUUCCGCACAUUUCCUCGUCGUAAAUUUUUAAACGACAAAUUCGAUCACUUAUGUUGAGUAACUUAUGAUUUGUAAAAGUUUUAAUAAACUCGU
Helianthus annuus (common sunflower) is the source of this 922-nucleotide long non-coding RNA. RefSeq lists it as uncharacterized. The record is from RefSeq and is a predicted model, not a curated record. NCBI's taxonomy places the organism in Eukaryota, Viridiplantae, Streptophyta, Magnoliopsida, Asterales, Asteraceae. The transcript has 4 exons.